This is a long non-coding RNA of Salvia splendens (bonfire salvia), 1785 nucleotides long. RefSeq lists it as uncharacterized. NCBI's taxonomy places the organism in Eukaryota, Viridiplantae, Streptophyta, Magnoliopsida, Lamiales, Lamiaceae. The transcript is spliced from 2 exons. The record is from RefSeq and is a predicted model, not a curated record.
CGUCGAGACCUCUCUCUCUCCCAUCUUCUAAUUUCUUUCUCCCCCAAAUUGGAUUCCAAAUUGAGAAAACAACCCAGUGGCACCUCAAUCCUCUUUCUCGUGGCCUCUCCGGCGGAAAUCGCCGUCUCGACGGAAACGUCGCUGGUGAGCGGCGCUGCUGCAUGCGUCGCCGUCCUCUUCUCCGGCCCAAACAGCCGCCGCUGCCCGCUCUCCUGUUCCGCCGCGUUUAGGCAGCAAACACACCAGCCCCCAUCGCCGUCGAUCGGCCUCUGUUGGACGGUCCCCUCGUUCCAGUGGAAGCCGUCUCUGCUGCCUUCGUGAAGGACGAUCGGUGACCAGGGGUCUCGCCCUCUCUUAUGCACCGCCACCUCUGCACCCGACUCGGCGAGUAGCUGCUGUUGUUUGGUGGAGGCGCUGAUCGUGUCGUUCGUCGUCGUUGCCCGUCACCGUCGCGGUCGGCCCUUCGUCUCCAGCCGACAUCGCGGCUGUGUGACCUACUACAGCGGAUCUUCUCCCGUUGAUCUAGACUCGGGGUCUAGCCCCCAACACUGCCGACACAUCCGUCUGCCGCCUCCCUUGUUUCUCGGCGCUGUGGUUGCAGAGGAGCGGGCGUCGUUUUCUCGGCCAGACCUCUGACACCAUCGCGCUCCCUUCCGUCAACGCCUUAGCUCGGCUGGAAUCCCGACAUUGAGCUGGAACUCGGCCGCGGUUCCCUCCGCCGGCGCCCUUCCGUCGUCACCGCCAUCUCCGACAACCCCUAAAGCUAAGCCUUCUUUCGUUUAUUACUUAGCUUAUGUUAUGGGUUCUAUUUGGCAGAAGCUAAGUUCUCCUUCUCCCUAUGUUCUUACGGUAGAUUUACUAUGUUCAACCGAUUAUGUUUUGAUUACCGUGUCUGAGUUCUAAUUACGGUAUCCUAGCAUGCUUGUGAUGCCUACAUGAUGACAUGGGUUUAAGAAGAGUUCGAAGGAGGUUUUACCUUCGCUGCUGCGUAUCUUGUUGUCCCUUACUCUCGGCUUUGAUCCCCUUUACUCCCUCUCGCUGCUUCGCUCUCUCCCACUCUAAGCCUCACUGUAUUACAAUUGAUUUGUGGAGAUGGGAAAGGGAGGAAGAGGCUGAGGGCUUAUCCCUUAUAUAGAGGGGAGGUGUAACUGAAAGCCUGCAAGGCUGUGGUGUGUGCUGUUACUGGCCCUUAGGCUGCACAAAGCAGCUGAUCUGUUUGUGGCAUUCCAGUGCAAGUACUCUGGCCCUCCAGUUCCUUUUGUAACUGAUUUCGGUGGCUUAUGGGGCGUACUCGUGGAUUAAAUGGGGCUGCUCUCUCCAUUGUAUCCUGCUACAGAGAUCCCUUUGCUCCCCUUUGUUUUAUUGCAGCGCCUUUAACUGAUUUGCAGGAGUAUAACACUACUUGAUAAGCUGCUGAAAAGUUCUUGCAGGGGCAGUUGCUAGGCAGGGCUAUUGGGCUGGGUGCGGUGCCCCUGCCGCUGCGCAGUGAGCUGGCUGGACUUGCCCCUUUCGACCAAGCCUUCCUCUUUUCUUUGGGAAAGGAGCUGCGGCUGGCCAACGAGGCUGUCUUCCCUCGUGGUCUCGCCCUCCCGGCUCGUUUGAAGAUCUGGGGCCGAGACGGCCCGGUGACGAAGGCCAAAGUAGCCCUUAGGAAUUUCUAAAUGUAAUAGUGUAGCUCGACUUUUAUUUUCGUCGUCAAAGUUUGUAAUUUUAGUUUGAGAUUCUGAAAAAAAUGUAACUGUACUCCUUUUCAAGCAAUAAAAAUACUCCAUCAUACUUUAAAAA